Molecule: long non-coding RNA, 695 nt
Organism: Tachysurus fulvidraco (yellow catfish)
Lineage: Eukaryota; Metazoa; Chordata; Actinopteri; Siluriformes; Bagridae
Exons: 3
Source: RefSeq, a predicted model, not a curated record
AUAUAUGUACCUCUGAAAGUCACAAACAGCUGGAACCAAAUUCCUUGUGAGUGUCAACUAAUUCCAAUUCUAAUUCUAAUUCUAAUUCUCCUUUAGUGACAUCAUGAACUUCCCAACCAAUAAAAUACUACUAAAGUAACCACUAAGUAAGUACUGGGUUAAAAAAAAGGGUUGGAAGUGAUUCUCCAAGUGAUUCUUCAGAACAAUCUCUGAGAUGUGUUUAGAAAAAGAAACAACGGCCCCACAACUGAAACCGUAAAGUGUCUUCAGACCGUUACCUUGUUUUUCCCUGACGUGUUCCUGUGCCGUUUCUCCACCUGAACCCACUGGUUCUCCGGAUCAGGCGUUCUGCUGGACAGCCCCUCGACGGUCCUCUCAUCCGAGCUGGACACACUUUUCGACUCGACCUCGAACGACUCAUCAGACUGCGGUUUGGUGUCAGUAUCAGAGCUGUCGUUUAUUAGGCCAUUUGUGGCAGCAGGAGGCUCGACUGUGGUCUGGUUGGCCGGGGAAGUUGAACCUGAAACGGAGGAGGAAGAGAUUAGCUGUGGUGAUUUGUGAAGGUCAAAAUUUCAAAUUUGAGUCAGGGUCAAGAUCAGGAUUAAAGGUCACCUCCUUGAUGAGACUGACGUCGGUGGUGAGAGCUUGGAUCCGGCGGAAGCCGGCAAUGAGAGAGAUGGGCAGGAAGCCCUUGG